UCUAUUAAAGGAAGAUAGCCCUCCAUUGGUCUUAGGCGCCAAGAGUCUUGGUGCAAAUCCAAGUAAUAGAA
RNAcentral lists this transfer RNA (71 nucleotides) under Gloydius brevicauda (short-tailed mamushi). RNAcentral's name for it is "tRNA-Leu". Lineage: Eukaryota; Metazoa; Chordata; Lepidosauria; Squamata; Viperidae. The record is from RNAcentral.